CCGGCCACGCCCAGCAAGCCCCUCGAUCCGGCCACGCUCCAGCAGGCCCCUCCAUCUGGCCACGCUCAGCAAUCCCCGCUUCACCACGCCCAGCUCCAUCCGGUGCGUCCUGUGAAGAUGGCAAAAGAGAAAGCGAUAUGGGAUGCGGAAGCUGCUGCAAUUUUCUGCAAACUUUGUGUGAUUGAGAAAGUAACCAGGGAGCGAUAUGGGAUGCGGAAGCUACUGGUCGGGUAUCUAACAUUGUGCAUGGUGAUGAUGCUCUCAUGAAAGUAACUAGGGAGAGAAUAGCUGAUGAAUUAUUGACAGCUACAGAUGAAGUUUAGUUUUACGCACUGCUUUCGGGUGAUGGUUGAUGUACGUUUUGGAUGAUGGUUUGUAAUUGAACGUGCAUUUUGGAUGAUGGUUAUAGUUUCUUAAA
Molecule: long non-coding RNA, 418 nt
Organism: Lolium rigidum
Lineage: Eukaryota; Viridiplantae; Streptophyta; Magnoliopsida; Poales; Poaceae
Exons: 2
Source: RefSeq, a predicted model, not a curated record